This 216-nucleotide ribosomal RNA is filed under the name Glomeromycotina sp. Its description in RNAcentral is "partial small subunit ribosomal RNA". The stretch from base 40 to 216 matches the Rfam family "Eukaryotic small subunit ribosomal RNA", at positions 686 to 864 of the family's 1831-position model. The record is from RNAcentral. Lineage: Eukaryota; Fungi; Glomeromycota.
GGGUCAGUAGGUUGGUCGUGCCACCGGUACGUACUGGUCUCACUGAUUCCUCCUUCCUGAAGAACCGUAAUGCCAUUAAUUUGGCGUUGCGGGGAAAUAGGACUGUUACUUUGAAAAAAUUAGAGUGUUUAAAGCAAGCUAACGCUUGAAUACAUUAGCAUGGAAUAAUGAAAUAGGACGAUCGAUCCUAUUUUGUUGGUUUCUAGGAUUGACGUA